Molecule: long non-coding RNA, 653 nt
Organism: Oncorhynchus tshawytscha (Chinook salmon)
Lineage: Eukaryota; Metazoa; Chordata; Actinopteri; Salmoniformes; Salmonidae
Source: Ensembl
UAAGAGGGUUAGUGGGUUAGUGCACUAUAUGGCCUCCGAGGUGUUUAGAGACGUUGUUGACUCGGUUAAGAGGGUUAGGGUUAGUGCACUAUAUGGCCUCCGAGGUGUUUAGAGACGUUGUUGACUCGGUUAAGAGGGUUAGGGUUAGUGCACUAUAUGGCCCCCGAGGUGUUUAGAGACGUUGUUGACUCGGUUAAGAGGGUUAGGGUUAGUGCACUAUAUGGCCUCCGAGGUGUUUAGAGACGUUGUUGACUCGGUUAAGAGGGUUAGGGUUAGUGCACUAUAUGGCCUCCGAGGUGUUUAGAGACGUUGUUGACUCAGUUAAGAGGGUUAGUGCACUAUAUGGCCUCCGAGGUGUUUAGAGACGUUGUUGACUCAGUUAAGAGGGUUAGUGCACUAUAUGGCCCCCGAGGUGUUUAGAGACGUUGUUGACUCAGUUAAGAGGGUUAGGGUUAGUGCACUAUAUGGCCCCCGAGGUGUUUAGAGACGUUGUUGACUCAGUUAAGAGGGUUAGGGUUAGUGCACUAUAUGGCCUCCGAGGUGUUUAGAGACGUUGUUGACUCGGUUAAGAGGGUUAGGGUUAGUGCACUAUAUGGCCUCCGAGGUGUUUAGAGACGUUGUUGACUCGGUUAAGAGGGUUAGGGUUAGUGCAC